RNAcentral lists this small RNA (62 nucleotides) under Pyrobaculum sp. WP30. RNAcentral's name for it is "Pyrobac-1 RNA". It matches the Rfam family "Pyrobac-1 RNA". From Rfam's summary of the family: The motif has been shown by to be part of sRNA202 and sRNA203 canonical and noncanonical pseudouridine guide RNA (H/ACA RNA). Lineage: Archaea; Thermoproteati; Thermoproteota; Thermoprotei; Thermoproteales; Thermoproteaceae. The record is from RNAcentral.
CGAGCCGGGACUACGCCGGGUGAGGGCGGCAUGUGCCGCGCUGUGAGGCCGGCGGGGCACCG